CCCGGGCCUUGUACACACCGCCCGUCACACCACGAAAGUCGGCAACGCCCGAAGCCAGUGGCCUAACCCGCAAGGGAAGGAGCUGUCGAAGGUGGGGUCGGCGAUUGGGGUG
RNAcentral lists this ribosomal RNA (112 nucleotides) under uncultured bacterium. RNAcentral's name for it is "partial 16S ribosomal RNA". It matches the Rfam family "Bacterial small subunit ribosomal RNA", at positions 1373 to 1482 of the family's 1533-position model. The record is from RNAcentral.